GAUGAACGCUGGCGGCGUGCCUAAUACAUGCAAGUCGAACGCUGGAAAUCUAGCUUGCUAGAUUGAAGGAGUGGCGAACGGGUGAGUAAUACAUAAGCAACCUACCCACGAAGACUGGGAUAAUCUCUGGAAAUGGGGACUAAUACCGGAUAGGUAAUCGGAAGGCAUCUUCUGAUUAUUAAAGGUUAAAAACACUGGUGGAUGGGCUUAUGGCGCAUUAGUUAGUUGGUGAGGUAACGGCCCACCAAGACGAUGAUGCGUAGCCGGCCUGAGAGGGUGAACGGCCACAUUGGGACUGAGACACGGCCCAGACUCCUACGGGAGGCAGCAGUAGGGAAUUUUCGGCAAUGGGGGAAACCCUGACCGAGCAACGCCGCGUGAGUGAUGACGGCCUUCGGGUUGUAAAGCUCUGUUGUAAGGGAAGAACGGUAGAUAGAGAAUAUCUAAAUGACGGUACCUUACCAGAAAGCCGCGGCUAACUACGUG
This 486-nucleotide ribosomal RNA is filed under the name uncultured bacterium. RNAcentral describes it as "partial 16S ribosomal RNA". It matches the Rfam family "Bacterial small subunit ribosomal RNA", at positions 28 to 507 of the family's 1533-position model. The record is from RNAcentral.